This 169-nucleotide ribosomal RNA is filed under the name Gymnothorax phasmatodes (ghost moray). RNAcentral's name for it is "partial 12S rRNA". The record is from RNAcentral. Lineage: Eukaryota; Metazoa; Chordata; Actinopteri; Anguilliformes; Muraenidae.
AACCGCGGUUAUACGAGAGGCCCAAAUUGACAAAUCACGGCGUAAAGUGUGAUUAGAGAUAAGCCUGAAAUAGAGCCAAACACCCCCUAUGCUGUCAUACGCCAUGGGGGACACGAAGACCGGCAACGAAAGUGGCUCUAUUAAUCUUGAACUCACGACAGCUAAGAUA